This 402-nucleotide ribosomal RNA is filed under the name uncultured bacterium. RNAcentral's name for it is "bacterial SSU rRNA". It matches the Rfam family "Bacterial small subunit ribosomal RNA", at positions 355 to 774 of the family's 1533-position model. The record is from RNAcentral.
UGGGGAAUAUUGCACAAUGGGCGAAAGCCUGAUGCAGCAACGCCGCGUGAGUGAUGAAGGCCUUCGGGUUGUAAAGCUCUGUCUUCUGGGACGAUAAUGACGGUACCAGAGGAGGAAGCCACGGCUAACUACGUGCCAGCAGCCACGGUAAUACGUAGGUGGCAAGCGUUGUCCGGAUUUACUGGGCGUAAAGGAAGCGUAGGCGGAUACUUAAGUCAGAUGUGAAAAUCCCGGGCUUAACUUGGGAACUGCAUUUGAAACUGGGUAUCUAGAGUGCGGGAGAGGAAAGUGGAAUUCCUAGUGUAGCGGUGAAAUGCGUAGAGAUUAGGAAGAACACCAGUGGCGAAGGCGACUUUCUGGACCGUAACUGACGCUGAGGCAUGAAAGCGUGGGGAGCAAACA